AACAACUUUCAGCAACGGAUCUCUUGGCUCUCGCAUCGAUGAAGAACGCAGCGAAAUGCGAUAAGUAAUGUGAAUUGCAGAAUUCAGUGAAUCAUCGAAUCUUUGAACGCACCUUGCGCUCCUUGGUAUUCCGAGGAGCAUGCCUGUUUGAGUGUCAUUAAAUUCUCAA
RNAcentral lists this ribosomal RNA (169 nucleotides) under Bolbitius elegans. Its description in RNAcentral is "5.8S ribosomal RNA". It matches the Rfam family "5.8S ribosomal RNA". Rfam says of the family: 5.8S ribosomal RNA (5.8S rRNA) is a component of the large subunit of the eukaryotic ribosome. It is transcribed by RNA polymerase I as part of the 45S precursor that also contains 18S and 28S rRNA. Lineage: Eukaryota; Fungi; Basidiomycota; Agaricomycetes; Agaricales; Bolbitiaceae. The record is from RNAcentral. RNAcentral also lists the same sequence under 1 other name.